GUCUUAGUAAAAGCAGCACAUGUGCUAAAAUUAGGACAGAGAGAAGAUUAGCGUGGUUCCUGCAUGAGAAUGACAUGCAAAUUUGUGAAGUGUCCCAUAUUUUU
Small nuclear RNA from Herpailurus yagouaroundi (jaguarundi), 104 nucleotides. NCBI's taxonomy places the organism in Eukaryota, Metazoa, Chordata, Mammalia, Carnivora, Felidae. The record is from RefSeq and is a predicted model, not a curated record.